CCUACGGGAGGCAGCAGUGAGGAAUAUUGGUCAAUGGACGAGAGUCUGAACCAGCCAAGUAGCGUGAAGGAUGACUGCCCUAUGGGUUGUAAACUUCUUUUAUAAAGGAAUAAAACGAGGCACGUGUGCCUUUUUGCAGGUACUGUAUGAAUAAGGAUCGGCUAACGCCGUGCCAGCAGCCGCGGUAAUACGGAGGUUCCGAGCGUUAUCCGGAUUUAUGGGGUUUAAAGGGAGCGUAGAGGGGUUGUUAAGGCAGUUGUGAAAGUUUGCGGCUCAACCGUAAACUUGCACUUGCUACUGGCAGUCUUGAGUACAGUUGAGGUCGGCGGACUUCGUGUUGUAGCGG
This 346-nucleotide ribosomal RNA is filed under the name uncultured bacterium. RNAcentral describes it as "partial 16S ribosomal RNA". It matches the Rfam family "Bacterial small subunit ribosomal RNA", at positions 338 to 681 of the family's 1533-position model. The record is from RNAcentral.